RNAcentral lists this ribosomal RNA (433 nucleotides) under uncultured bacterium. RNAcentral describes it as "partial 16S ribosomal RNA". It matches the Rfam family "Bacterial small subunit ribosomal RNA", at positions 29 to 507 of the family's 1533-position model. The record is from RNAcentral.
AACGAACGCUGGCGGCAUGCCUAACACAUGCAGGUCGAACGAACCCUUCGGGGUUAGUGGCGCACGGGUGCGUAACGCGUGGGAAUCUGCCCUUUGCUUCGGAAUAACUCAGGGAAACUUGUGCUAAUACCGGAUGAUGUCUUCGGACCAAAGAUUUAUCGGCAAGGGAUGAGCCCGCGUAGGAUUAGGUAGUUGGUGGGGUAAAGGCCUACCAAGCCGACGAUCCUUAGCUGGUCUGAGAGGAUGAUCAGCCACACUGGGACUGAGACACGGCCCAGACUCCUACGGGAGGCAGCAGUGGGGAAUAUUGGACAAUGGGCGCAAGCCUGAUCCAGCAAUGCCGCGUGAGUGAUGAAGGCCCUCGGGUCGUAAAGCUCUUUUACCGGGGAUGAUAAUGACAGUACCUGGAGAAUAAGCUCCGGCUAACUCCGUG